Molecule: long non-coding RNA, 169 nt
Organism: Octopus sinensis (East Asian common octopus)
Lineage: Eukaryota; Metazoa; Mollusca; Cephalopoda; Octopoda; Octopodidae
Exons: 3
Source: RefSeq, a predicted model, not a curated record
UAUAUAUAUAUAUAUAUACGUAUAUGUGUGUAUAUGUAUAUAUAUACAUAAUGGGUGGCCUAAAAGUAGGUUUACUGUUAUCAUGUAGGCACUUCCAAUUUCUUUUAAAACAUUUUAUUACAUUUAAAUCUCUGUCUUACAAACUGAAAAGGGACCUUGACAAGUUUAA